GUCCCUUCAGACAAAAAUGGACGGACUCCUUUUGGACUACAAUGGAAGAAAGCUGUCAGUGCCACCUCGUCUAUGCUGUGCCAUUUGAACCUGAGGCUGGGGCAUAAAUCUCCACCCUUGGGCCAGCCUUGACAUUCUGUUCCCAGAUGGUGCCUCCCCUGCUGUGGACUCUGCCCCAAAGGGGGACUGGCAUCUCAGCUAGACCUAUCCAUCACAGGAGAACCAGGCCCCUGAAACUCGGAGCAGAGGCCCCAGUAGGGAGCACCUGCCCUCAUGUUUUCACCCCUGUGGCUAAAACAACCCCACCCCCCCAAGUGCACUCAAUACCCCACAGCUUUCCUGAGAGGUUAGAGGUCGUUUGAGGGUGUGAGACAACUUUGCAUGUCCAGAGACACUCUUUUAAGGUGACAUUCACACUCAGGUCUGCAGUUAAAAUCUAUUAGGCCUCAUAUUACAAGCAGGUCAAAGGUCGAGGUGUUAUUAAUGUUGACAAAAGGCCACACAAGCUUCAGACAAAUCACUGAAACAAUCAGAAGUGGAGACAAACUUAUUUUGGGAUGAGAGCAUGAAACUUGGACAAAUGGAGAACAUUUGGAAAUUAAUGGAAAACUGCAAAGAAAAGAUCAAUUGCCCCUGAAAGGGAAAGAGAAAAAGCUUCUUUUCUCCAACCAUCUUUUAUACAAAGAACUGUACUCCUCCCAUUUUUGGUCCAUCUGUUUUAUAUAUUGUGGCCAAAAAACAUCACUCAUUUGAUUGGACCCAAAUGUGAUGCUUGAGGCUCCUUCAUACAUCCAAAGCCUGUAUGACCCUCCUUCUCCUGCUCUCCUCCAACAAAGUUUCUUUCCCCUCUCCCCACUGGUCUUGUUCAAGGGGCACCAGCCUUAACUACAUGUGUGUGUUUGUUUCUGUAAGUGUAAUGGAGGUGGGGGGAAAAGGGGUCUCGUCCCAGCUCACUAGGCUGCCAGCUAAGGUCUACGCUAUGAGGACUACUCAACCUAAAACCUGUGGAUAAAGAAUCAAACCACCUGAGCUAAAACAGUUGCUCUGAGAAGUUUUUUGAGUCAUCUUUAAUUCAUAAAAGUUCCUUCAAAACAUUCAAACCCUUGUCAAAAUGAAAGGCUUUUACUCGGCCCAAGAACAGCUUGCUUUUUGUUUGUUUGUCGCAUGCUGCUACCACAUUAAAAAAACUAACCACUGCUGUAAAAUGGAGCUAAACCAUAUUUUGGUGUAUUUGUUUUAUCCAAGUGUUUGGUGAUGAACAAAAUGUUGAACUAAUUAAAACCAUCCAGGCAAUAGUUGUUGAAACAUGUAAUUGAAAACCACAAAGACCAACCUCAUGGUGGCAAAACAGUCAGAAGAUGUCCAAAGUUGUUGUUAUUUUUCCUCUUGUAACCAGACACAUCUGUAUGAAAUGCAACCACAAUCCAUCUGAUGUCACUUAAAAUGACAUAGUCUGUACCAACUGACAGACCACCAUGAUCAUCCCUGUCAUACUACCAGAAUGUCUACUUAAAAGUAUCGGGAGUGGUAACUGGUUAGUUUGUUGCUCUUCUUUAGCAAAGAAACUGGAUUGGUAAAAUCUACCCUCAUCCAUGUGUAUCCAACUUAAAACCUUCUCUUUCCUAUUGAGGUCUCCACAUGAACCAGAGAGGUAACUAAUAUUUAUAGUAUAGGUUUAUCACACAAAACAAUGUGAAAUUAUACAAUAUCAUACAGUCCAGUACAGACAGUAUGGUGACGGUAUGAUUCUAUCGGAUAUAGUACCACAAACACUAUGGUACCAUAUGAAACAACUUUGAAAGGAACAAUGUAAUACGCAACAAUACAGUACUAGUGUGAUACGAAACACCCCUAUGAUCCAAUACAAUACUAUGUGAUACUAAAUCUGAUGCAAAACAACCAAAAAACAGUAUGACAUGAAAUGGUAUGAUACAAAACAAUACAAUAUGAUAUAAUAUGAUACAAUGUGAAAUAAGAUGGAAUACAUUACAAUACGAUACAGUAUGGUAUGUUGCAGUACAAUGCAAUACUGUAUGUUAUUACACUAUAUGAUGAAAUAUAAUGCAAUAUGAUGUGCCACUGUAAGACAUAUAAUACAAUACUAGAUGAUGCAAAAAUAAGAUAUAUUGCAACACGGUAUGAUGUAAUGUGAUACGCCAAACCACAGCAGGAUCCAAUAUGAUACUAUAAAGUAGAAUAUAAUAAGAAUUAUUUUGAUAUGAUACGGUACAGUUCAAUUUCAUAUGAUAUAAUAUGCCAUGGUUACCUAUGAUGGAUAGGAACAAAUGAUGAUAUGAAACCAUACCAUACCAUACCAUAUAAAAUAAAAGAACCUUUAAACUAAUUUAUUGUGCAGUGGUUGGUUCAUAGUGAUUUGAUUGAUGUACGAUUCUAAUGGAUCUCUUUUGUAAUUCAAACAAAAAAAUCAGUCUUUGUUUUGUUAGUGCUGCUCUUUAUACUAUAAACUAACUAUAGAGAAGAAAAGGACUGUUUGAACUCUGAUUCAACAUAUUUUGAGUUUUGUACACCAAUGGUUUUGACAUUUUGUUUUUGACGCUAUUUAUUUGUCAUUCCUAACUACAUUUAUGAUCAAUGAUCACAUUGAAGAAAUGAUUUGUGUCUUUCCAAAAUGUUGUGAAUUUUAUCAAAGAAUUUUCAGGUAAAUGACACUAGUAGAGUACUGUAAUAGAAGAAAUAGUGCCUUGUAACAAACACAAAAUAUAACAGGGUAAAUAUUAUAGAAAAUGAUCAUCUAUUUGGCAGAAAUAUCUAAAGAUUUAACAUGAGACUGUUGGGUAAAUACCAUCUGUGCUGUCGGUAAUAUGUUUUCCUUUUCAUUCCAUGUAUUUGAUGUUAUUUAGGUAUGAAACUCUGCAGCUGUUAAAGAUGAAAAACGAGCCUUGAUAAGAGUCUGGAAGAAAUCUACCAAACAACAAGCCUCUCUACAUGCUCCAUAUUCCCAUCCUUACUUAAACCCCCUGUUCCCCUCUCUGCCUAGCUAUCCCACAUAACGUCUGUGUUAAUCUCCAUCAGAACCAGGCACAGCGCUGCACUCUGGCAUAUAUCAUCCCACACACUUGUCAAACAUAUGAAAAGAAGAUCGAAAGGAUGUCCCACAUGGUUUUGAUAAAAACAGAGGUAGUCUUUGGUCAGCGUAGUUUCCUCAUUCCUCCGCUGUGAUUAAUUGUGUGCAUUGUGUUUCAUUUGUGAAGUUGCAAAAAAAUGUGAAGGGAAAACUUGCUGUAUGAUAAAUAAACAGUAUAAUUGCUCUUCAUUGUUAAUAAAUCAUGAUUGUUAACAUUUCUGUCCUCUGCUGUCAAAUGUGCCCUUUUUUUGUUGUGGCGAAAAAUGGGGGAAGAGAGAGAAAAACAGAAAACAUUUGGGGUCUUUCCAGCUUGCAAAUGAAGCAGAAAGCAUGUUCUCUGCAUGACAAUGUUUACAUGCUCUUUCAGCCAAACAGCUUAGAUAAAUGUACAGAUUUAUGGGGAACUAUGAAAGUAACUGCACAUAAGUUGCCUCCUUUAUGAAAACUAAAAUUGCAUCUUCACUCGGCUCAGGUCUCAACAGUGCAGAUACAUGUGGCCUGUAACCACUCAAUAUGGUAUUUUAGCUAUAAUUGUAAUUGAUCAUGAAAGUCUAAAAACCACUUUACUUUGGAACAAAACGGCACCUAAGAUCAGACCUUUGCACACAGUCCAUCGCAUUUACAUUUGUCAGCAAUAAAUCAUGUCUACAUGUGAGAUAACAGACAGUAAAAACACACAAAAAGUAUAUGGCUGUUAUUUUCGUAUCAUAAAAAACCUGUAAAUCAUCAUUUAAAACUGGCCAUCAAACCCUUAAAAACAGAAAUGGGAACAAUCUAUGCUAAAAUAAGCCGUGUCUCCGACUGCGGAACCUUUUAUCUGCUGAUGGAAUUUAACCUAAAUUCCUCCAGAAUAUCAUAAAGCCACAAGUCUCCUGAGAAACAAACAAAAACCACAACACACAGCUUGUUUUAAAGCCAGUUUACAGUAUAUCUCAACAGAAUACAUAUAGAGAAACAUAUGAAAUCCAAGUCAGGAUGAGCUGACCCACAGCUGUGUUUUAUUUCAGAUGCUGACUUGUCUUUGUAUCCAUCAGGCUGGACUAUCAGAUAAUCAUCUUUUCUUUUUUUCCUGCAGGAAAAGACCAAUUAUGAGCUCACUUGUAUACAGAUUUAAGAAUGAAUAGUGAUUACAGAUGAUGACACAUUCUUAUGAGAUCUCUAUAGCUUCAUUAGACUUGGUCCUUCUGAGAAUACUCUGGAUUGGCUAUUACUGGAUUAAGGUACACUGAUCUGCAUGAAAUCCUGGUCUGGUUAUCAGCUCUUUAUACCAGCAGACUGUCUUUUAGGGUCAGGACCCUUUCAGGCUCUACUCUGAUCAGCUGGCUGAUUUAGUAAUGCCAUUAACAUGGAUCUCUCCCUGAAAUCCAGCUCUGAACCUCAAGAUUUUAACCUUCAAUAGUUUUCUUAGUCCAAUACGCAAAACAAAAAAGAAAUCAGGAUCUUUUCAGCUUUCUUAAACUAGUUAUGUCAAACUUAUGCUAACUUCUAAUGUAGUUUCUUGUUGGUUUGACAUUAUUCUAAUACAAUACUAGAAAAGCUAAAUCCAAGUUUCUAGUUAUGUAUGCUAAAAUCUUGGAAGGACCUUACCUUUGUAACCUGGGUUAUUUGAGUUAUGUUUGACUGUCAUGAUAAGGGUCAAGUUUUCUUUAUUUUGUUCAUUUCAUGUCUCAUGUCUCCUGUGUGUUUUAUUUUGAAGUCACUAACCCCUGUCUCUGCUUCAGAUGCGUUCCUGUCUGUCCUGCCCCCUCUUGUCAUACCUGUCCCCUGAUUACACCUGUCUCCCAACACCCUCUUUACCGAUUGUACUUAACCUCAUGUCUUUCACAAUCUUGUCACCAGUUUGUUGUACUUAUUGUCACGUUCCAGCACUGAGGGGAAAACUGGUUGGGAGGGGUAGUAUUUACAUUCAAGAUUUUUCCCCAAAACUGGCACUUCCUCAGAUCCUGCCUACCUCACCAUUAGUUAUUGUGAAAUUCAAAUAUUUUCAUUUAUCUUUAAUAAAAUUAGUGAGUAUACAGAAUGAUUCGGCAUAUACAACACACAGGCUGGCAGGAGGACAAGCGUGCUACUCUGAUAACUGUUAGGCUUACUACCAGCCCCCACACAAUUCAGCA
Non-coding RNA from Xyrichtys novacula (pearly razorfish), 5199 nucleotides. NCBI's taxonomy places the organism in Eukaryota, Metazoa, Chordata, Actinopteri, Labriformes, Labridae. The record is from the annotation of a GenBank genome assembly.